Molecule: transfer-messenger RNA, 373 nt
Filed under: Rhizobium ruizarguesonis
Lineage: Bacteria; Pseudomonadati; Pseudomonadota; Alphaproteobacteria; Hyphomicrobiales; Rhizobiaceae
Rfam family: Alphaproteobacteria transfer-messenger RNA
About the family: Bacterial tmRNA, also known as 10Sa RNA or SsrA, is named for its dual tRNA and mRNA-like properties.
Source: RNAcentral
GACAUUCUCACGCGAUGCUGUCGACUAAAUUUAGUUGACAUGAGCGUCGCUAAGGCCCUUAUGAGCGAGGGUAUUCGCGCGUGGACUAAGAAUAGUUUUGUCAUAUAAGGUUCAGUACCCGGCGCCUCCACCAAAAACCGGCGGUCUUAAAGGCCGGCUUUUGAUGGGGGCGAAACAGGAUCGACAAGGGUGUAAAGAUCGUCUUUUUGCUCGGCAUUGUACCGCCGUUAUCGGGCUAAAAUUGUAGUUGCAAACGACAACUAUGCGGAAGCUCGUCUCGCUGCUUAAUUGCGGUGUGACACUUCAAUCAAAGUCCUAGUGGUUCGCACCUCUAGGCGGGGUCCGAAGGCACCUGGCAACAGAAGCCUUCACC